This is a long non-coding RNA of Melanotaenia boesemani (Boeseman's rainbowfish), 198 nucleotides long. RefSeq lists it as uncharacterized. The record is from RefSeq and is a predicted model, not a curated record. The transcript has 4 exons. Lineage: Eukaryota; Metazoa; Chordata; Actinopteri; Atheriniformes; Melanotaeniidae.
GUUUUUAGAACUCCUCUGUUGGUAUUCUCGUUAAUAAUUUUUUUCAAUUGUGUGAGUUUCCCCAUUGCUAUGACCUUGGUAGCCCGCCGAAAACCACAGUCUCACGCGUUCGAAGUUACGUCGUUGACGCAGGACAACAGGAAAGACCGCGCUUUUGCUGCGUCCUGCGUCCGACGUGGCCAAUAGGAGAACAUAAUG